CUAUCGCACCGCGCGCUACCGGAUCCCGUCCCGAUAGCCUACCAACCAUUUAUCUUGACCUAGCUAACCCAAUCAACAAAAAAAACUCUAGGCAUCGGCCGCUGUAAGUGGUGUGUUAUCGGUUCCGUAUGCUAUCGGGAUCCACCCAGGUCAGCCAAUCGGAGCAAUUCCGUUUCUGUUCCGUUCCGCUUUGAUGAGUGAGCUCCCCACAUAUGAAUGUUCACGUAACGGAAUUAAAACGGAAAAAUUAACCUUACUUUCGUGAAAAGUUUUCGAAGGUAACGCGUGUCCAAAGUGAGACAAAUUAAAAAAAGAAAGUUCUCUACGACCUGUGGAUCGUAUCAUCAGUUUUUUAUGUUCAAGGAAUAUCAUUAAUGGUAAAUUCAAUAAAAUUAUACUUUAUUAACUAGGAAAACAGAUAGAUAAAAAAAAUGAAGAUUUAAUAACUAUAAUAAAAGAGAGACCAACCCUGUAUGAUUAUUGAAUACCAAUAAAAGAACGAGUAAGGAAACAAAAGGAUCAGUUGUGGCAGAAAGUCACUGUUUAAAAGAGGACAACUAGAGAGAGAUAAAUGGAAAUCUGAAAUAGUUAAUGGCGGAAGGUGUGGCCACCUAUAUCACGCCAUGCGGCACGAGGCAGUCUGAGCCGCCAUUUGUAAUUAUCGCACGGAGUUUGUGAAUAUUAUACGGGGGAUAAAUCAAACUAAUUGCACAUCUAGAUCCGUAAAAAGAAACGAGGAUCCAUUUCCAAAAGAGAAAGAAGAACUGUAUUAAAGAUUAUAUUGUUGAACGCUCGACCGGAAGCCUCUUACACGUCCUUAUCAGCAAAAGAGGAAAGGACUAAAGAAAACGAGAAUCCUCUACCAGGAGAAAAGGAACCCCAUUAAGGACUACAACAUUGGAUCCUUGACAAUCCGGAAGCCAGUGAGUACUCCCGACUACUUAUCUUAGCAUUAAAAAAAAAUAAUAAUAAUAAUAUUAAAGGUACACAUAUAAAUGCAAAUUAGAAAGAAUAUAUAACUAUAAUUUACUUUGGUUAGUUAUAAAAAAAAAAGAACACAAUAAAGUGGGACUAUGGUCACAUUCCUUACUACUUUCUUUUAAUCUGAACAGGAUCAUUAUACAGGGUGAUUCAGAACGACC
This is a long non-coding RNA of Solenopsis invicta (red fire ant), 1142 nucleotides long. RefSeq lists it as uncharacterized. The record is from RefSeq and is a predicted model, not a curated record. The transcript has 3 exons. Lineage: Eukaryota; Metazoa; Arthropoda; Insecta; Hymenoptera; Formicidae.